GCCCCUACUGGGAAGUGAGGACCCCUCUGCCCGGCCAGCCGCCCCGUCCGGGAGGGAGGUGGGGGGAACAGCCCCCCGCCCGGCCAGCCGCCCUAUCCAGGAGCUUACUCUGAGGGAGGUCUGAAUGCCAUAUUGUGAGCGGCCCUGCUGAAAGACCCAUGUGGCAAGGAUCUGAGAUCAUUGGCCAACAGGCUGCAAAGAGUCCUACCAACAGCCAGGCUGGUGUUCUUGGAAGUGGAUCUUCUCCUACUCUCCUACUUGAGAUGACUGCAGCCCCAGCUAACACUUCGAUUGCAGCCUUGUUAAGAUAUCACGGGCCAGACACACCCAGCUAAGUUAUGCCUGAGUUACUAGCCCACAGAAAUGAUAAGAUAAUAAAUAUUUGCUGUUUUAAGCUGCUAAGUUUUGGGUUAAUUUGUUAUACAACAAUGGAUAACUAAUACAAGUGCAGUCAUUGAUCUCAUUGAACACACCCGUAAUUCUUUGGAAAAAUGUCUACUUUCUCACCAAACUAAAA
RNAcentral lists this long non-coding RNA (517 nucleotides) under Homo sapiens (human). RNAcentral's name for it is "HSALNT0336726". Lineage: Eukaryota; Metazoa; Chordata; Mammalia; Primates; Hominidae. The record is from RNAcentral.